CCUACGGGAGGCAGCAGUGAGGAAUAUUGGUCAAUGGACGAGAGUCUGAACCAGCCAAGUAGCGUGAAGGAUGACUGCCCUAUGGGUUGUAAACUUCUUUUAUAUGGGAAUAAAACGUUCCACGUGUGGGAUUUUGUAUGUACCAUAUGAAUAAGGAUCGGCUAACUCCGUGCCAGCAGCCGCGGUAAUACGGAGGGUCCGAGCGUUAUCCGGAUUUAUUGGGUGUAAAGGGCGCGUAGGGGGAUUGUUAAGUCAGUUGUGAAAGUUUGGGGCUCAACCGGAGAACUGCAGUUGAAACUGGCAGGCUGGAGGACAGUAGAGGGGGGUGGAAUUCGAGGUGUAGCGGUGAAAUGCGUAGAUAUCAGGAAGAACACCGGUGGCGAAGGCGGU
Molecule: ribosomal RNA, 390 nt
Filed under: uncultured bacterium
Lineage: Bacteria
Description: partial 16S ribosomal RNA
Rfam family: Bacterial small subunit ribosomal RNA
Source: RNAcentral